GACGAACGCUGGCGGCGUGCUGAACACAGGCAAGGCGAACGGAAAGGCCCUGCUUUGGUGGGGUGCUCGAGUGGCGAACGGGUGAGUAACACGUGAGUAACCUGCCCUUGACUUUGGGAUAACUUCAGGAAACUGGGGCUAAUACCGGAUAGGAGCUCCUGCUGCAUGGUGGGGGUUGGAAAGUUUCGGCGAUUGGGGAUGGACUCGCGGCUUAUCAGCUUGUUGGUGGGGUAGUGGCUUACCAAGGCUUUGACGGGUAGCCGGCCUGAGAGGGUGACCGGCCACGUUGGGGCUGCUCUACGUCCCAGACUCCUACGGGCGGCAGCAGUGGGGGAUAUUGCACAAUGGGCGGAAGCCUGAUGCAGCAACGCCGCGUGCGGGAUGACGGCCUUCGGGUUGUAGACCUCUUUCGCCUGUGACGAAGCGUGAGUGACGGUCAUGGGUCCUGCACCACCGCCUCACUACGUG
This 468-nucleotide ribosomal RNA is filed under the name uncultured bacterium. RNAcentral describes it as "partial 16S ribosomal RNA". It matches the Rfam family "Bacterial small subunit ribosomal RNA", at positions 28 to 507 of the family's 1533-position model. The record is from RNAcentral.